UCAGUCACUUUAGCUUCUCUAUUGAGAUCACAGCUCAUAAAGUUACUUCUAAGAAGCAGUGCCAGAACAUACACACCUCAUGGCCAACUGGGAUUUCAACCAGGACUCUGUGUCCUGGUCUAUCUACCCAAUACAUCACACUAGGCACCUCAGUUCUUGCCUAGUUGAGUGUACGUCCUCUUUUCUUCUUUGUUUAUUCACCCUCUCUUACCCCCACUCAAUCAUCUUCUCAGUCUUCAGCCACUAAGCUUGUCUAACAUUUCUGAUGUCCCCCAGUGACCCCUCUUUCUUAUUUACUUGCUUUUUCCUUUUCUUUCUGCGCUAUGUGCCAACUAGUUGCUUCCAAUUUAUGUUAACCCUAGUAGGAAUUUUGAGGCAUGUGGAGAUGAGUUUAAGGAGCAGUUUACCAUUGCCACUUUUCUGUGACGUUGCAUGGCCAAGCAAGGAUUUAGACCCAGGUCCUCCGAGCUGUAAAUAAAAACUGCUGGAUAAUUCAGUGGGUGGAGCCGAAGGUUGAGAGUUCAAUUCCCCACUGUGCAUCCUUGACAGGGGCUGGACUUGAUGAUUCAUAGGGACUCUUCCAGCUCUGCAGUUCUAAGAUUAUUAUUUUAUUAUUUGUCCAACAAGCCAACUCAUGUACUACAGUGGUUUCAAUUUUCAAGUUCUCUUUUGUGUUUUCUCAUUUGCUCUUCAUGUCACAGAUUCAUAGUCCAAAUAUCCUUUCAUUUGCAUCACAGAAGCUGCAUUAUGAUAUUGUCAUAUCAUAGCAGCUCAUCCAGUCUUGGACAGCAAAGGUGUUCCAAUAAUAGUUUAAGCUGCAUUGUUUCAGAUGUAAAGAUUCGGUCUUACUAGGCACAUGGAGUAAGCUGUGAAACAAAGCAUAGAUCAGCCUUUUUUUUCUCCCAUGCUGUUUAGGAUUGGGACAGUUAUAAUCAAGCUGCUUGCUUUUUUUGAAACAGCUGCCCUGAAAUGUCGAAAAUUUGAUGAGAACCUAAACUGGCCUGAUCCUCCCCCACGGAGUGGGGAAUGUGAAGCUGAUCCUGCAACACACACCUGCCGUGCCCGAAAGAUAUAUGAUCAAGAAGUGAUUCUUCGUCAAAUCAAAUAUAGCUGUGAAGCAAAGGAAACUGCAUUAUGUGGUGUUGAAUCGCUCUCCCCAACCAGGAAAGGUUCUCGAAUUGAAUUCUACUGCUGUGAGGAUGAAGACUUCUGCAAUGACAGCUUCAGCAAUAACUAACGCCAGUGAAUGCUGAAAAUCGUCUGUAGAUCCUCAUCAGAUAGAUGCUUGUAUCUCUUGUCCAUUUGUCUCUUCUUUCCAUUUUCAAUCCCCUUCCAUAUGCCUGCAUGAUUCCAUAUCUCAUAUGUCUUUAUAUCGCAUGUCUUCCACACCUGUAUGAUUCCAUAGCUGCACAAGUUAGACAAUUAUCACUACAUAAUGCUGUAAGUUCCCAUUAAAAUAUACAUAAAACAUGGAAUUAUGGAAUUAGAAGGGACCUAUAAGGCCAUCAAGUCCACCCUGCUGCUCAGUGUAGGAAUACAAUUUAAAGUAUAUUUGACAGAUGGUUGUCUAAUUUUCUCUUGAAUCCCUCCAGCAUGGGAGCACUCAUCACCUCCCAAUGUAUAGUAAUUGGUUCCAUUGUCGUAUUGCUCUAACAGUUAAGAAGUUUUCUGUGAUAUGCAUUCUAAAUCUGGCUUCCUGUAAGUCAAGUUACAGGAAGCCAGAUUUCAGCUGAAUAUCAGAAAAAAAAAACAUCUUAACUGUUAGAGCAGUAUAACAAUGGAACCAAUUUCUUUGGGAAGUGGCAAGCUCUCCAAUGCUGGAGGCAUUCAAGUGAAAAUUAGACAACUUUCUACAGUGGGGUCUCUACUUAAGAACGUCCCUACUUAAGAACAAUCCAACUUAAGAACAGCUCCAUUUGCUAAAUUUUGCUUCUACUUGAGAACAGAAAUCCAAGAUAAGAACAGGAAAAAAAACCUUUCCUGCUCUUUUUUUAACCUUAGGUCAUCUUAGGUUAAAAAAAAUUCUCCCCCUAGUGGUAGAGUACGUAUUAACCAGCUUUGCAUUAGUUCCUAUGGGAACUAAUGCUUCAAUGUACGAACGCACCUCUACAUAACAAAAAAACAGCCAGAACGGAUUAAUUGGUUUUCAGUCCAUUCCUAUGGGAAAUUUUGCUUCAACUUAAGAACGUUUCAACUUAAGAACACCAUUCCAAAACGGAUUAAGUUCUUAAGUAGAGGUUCCACUGUAGUUUCUAUGGACGGAAAAGAGCAGAUACGGAUUAAAUGGUUUUCAAUGCAUUCCUAUGGGAAAUGCAGAUUCAACAUAAGAACUUUUCAACUUGAGAACCACCUUCCAAUACGGAUUAAGUUCUUAAGUAGAGACCCCACUGUAUUAGAUAUGCUUUUAUUUGAAUUCCUGCAUUGAGCAGGUGAUUGGACUCAAUGGCCUUAUAGGCCCUUUCCAACUUCAUGAUUCUAAAAUAAGUCAAUCAUGACUUGGCUCUCUCUGUGUGUAGGUGUGUGUAAGUGUGAGUGGUGGAGGGGAGUGGCUUACUUUAAAAAUGUAUUGGUGUUGCUUUCUGGAGAUAUCAACUGAUAUUGAAUACUAUCUUACAGGCCCAGCCAGGUGUAUAUAUAAUCUUUAUCUAGUUCUCCUAGGAAAAGGGCAAGCAGGACAUCCUAAGAAAACAAUAAAAGUACUAAAACUACAUUACA
Long non-coding RNA from Pogona vitticeps (central bearded dragon), 2715 nucleotides. The record is from Ensembl. NCBI's taxonomy places the organism in Eukaryota, Metazoa, Chordata, Lepidosauria, Squamata, Agamidae.